CACACUGGAACUGAGACACGGUCCAACUCCUACGGGCCGGCAGCAGUGGGGAAUAUUGGACAAUGGGCGAAAGCCUGAUCCAGCCAUGCCGGGUGUGUGAAGAAGGUCUUCGGAUUGUAAAGCACUUUAAGUUGGGAGGAAGGGCAGUAAAUUAAUACUUUGCUGUUUUCACGUUACCGACAGAAUAAGCACCGGCUAACUCUGUGCCAGCACCGCGGUAAUACAGAGGGUGCAAGCGUUAAUCGGAAUUACUGGGCGUAAAGCGCGCGUAGGUGGUUCGUUAAUUGGAUGUGAAAUCCCGGGCUCACCUGGGAACUGCAUUCAAA
This 326-nucleotide ribosomal RNA is filed under the name uncultured bacterium. Its description in RNAcentral is "bacterial SSU rRNA". It matches the Rfam family "Bacterial small subunit ribosomal RNA", at positions 309 to 631 of the family's 1533-position model. The record is from RNAcentral.